This is a non-coding RNA of Termitomyces sp. T159_Od127, 80 nucleotides long. NCBI's taxonomy places the organism in Eukaryota, Fungi, Basidiomycota, Agaricomycetes, Agaricales, Lyophyllaceae. The record is from the annotation of a GenBank genome assembly.
GGCGCUGUAGUGUAGAGGUUAUCACUCGAGAUUUUGACCACCAUCUUCUCGAAACCCAGGUUCGAGUCCUGGCAGUGCCU